CGUAACGCGUAUGCAACCUACCUCAUACAGGGGGAUAGCCCGAAGAAAUUCGGAUUAAUACCCCAUGGCAUUACAGAUUCGCAUGAUGAAGUAAUUAAAGAUUUAUCGGUAUAAGAUGGGCAUGCGUCUGAUUAGAUAGUUGGUGAGGUAACGGCUCACCAAGUCGACGAUCAGUAGGGGUUCUGAGAGGAAGAUCCCCCACACUGGCACUGAGAUACGGGCCAG
This 225-nucleotide ribosomal RNA is filed under the name uncultured bacterium. RNAcentral describes it as "partial 16S ribosomal RNA". It matches the Rfam family "Bacterial small subunit ribosomal RNA", at positions 109 to 334 of the family's 1533-position model. The record is from RNAcentral.